GGUGCGAUGCCCGAGUUGGUUAAGGGGACGGUCUGCAAAACCGCCUUUCAUCGGUUCGACUCCGAUUCGCACCU
Molecule: transfer RNA, 74 nt
Filed under: Elusimicrobiota bacterium
Lineage: Bacteria; Pseudomonadati; Elusimicrobiota
Description: Elusimicrobia bacterium (gut metagenome) tRNA-Cys
Rfam family: tRNA
About the family: Transfer RNA (tRNA) molecules are approximately 80 nucleotides in length. Their secondary structure includes four short double-helical elements and three loops (D, anti-codon, and T loops).
Source: RNAcentral